ACAGAAGGCAGCAGUAGGGAAUAUUGCACAAUGGGGGAAACCCUGAUGCAGCAACGCCACGUGUGGGAAGAAGCAUUUCGGUGUGUAAACCACUGUCGUGAAGGAAUAAUGCCUGGUCUCGGCCAGGUUGAAUGUACGUUGAAAGGAAGCACCGGCAAACUUCGUGCCAGCAGCCGCGGUAAUACGAGGGGUGCAAGCGUUGUUCGGAAUCACUGGGCGUAAAGGGAGCGCAGGCGGAGAUGCAAGCAGUCUGUACAAUACCGGGGCCCAACCCCGGACCUGCAGGCUGGACUGUUUCUCUUGGGUAGCUCAGGGGCUGGCGGGAUUCCUGGUGUAGCGGUGGAAUGCGUAGAGAUCAGGAAGAACACCGAUGGCGAAGGCAGCCAGCUGGGGGCUUAUCGACGCUCAUGCUCGAAGGUGCGGGUAGCAAACAGGAUUAGAUACCCUGGUA
Molecule: ribosomal RNA, 451 nt
Filed under: uncultured Fibrobacter sp.
Lineage: Bacteria; Pseudomonadati; Fibrobacterota; Fibrobacteria; Fibrobacterales; Fibrobacteraceae
Description: partial 16S ribosomal RNA
Rfam family: Bacterial small subunit ribosomal RNA
Source: RNAcentral